Molecule: long non-coding RNA, 2533 nt
Organism: Cygnus olor (mute swan)
Lineage: Eukaryota; Metazoa; Chordata; Aves; Anseriformes; Anatidae
Exons: 2
Source: RefSeq, a predicted model, not a curated record
GAGGAGAAUUUACAGAGGAGGCCACUGCUGUGGUAAAGCUUGGCCCUCAGUCACCACUUCCACCCACCAUACUACAUGGUUUUAGGUACAGUCAACUCUGUUUUCCAAGAUGAUGGGAAAGAUGCCUGGAACACAUGACAUUAAUGCUGGUAGGAGAAAAAAGCCCAGAUACCAAAUUAUAGGGGACACUGGGAAGCGCUGUACAAGGACACUUGAUGGAAUUAGCUCAGGUUCAGCCGGAAUGACAAGUUCAGGCUCACCAUCAGUGUAUUACUUGCUUGCAAAACCACAUCACCUAAUGUACACUUCUUUUGCCAGCAGAGAACCCAGCAAUAUAUCUGCAGUGUGAGCUAUCUAGGAUCUGGAACACUGCAGGAAGCAGAGAGCUCCAAGAUCAUUACUUAGAGCUGGAUUAUGUUGGUCCCAGACUGACACAUCCAGAGCACAAUGGAUAUCUGAAUUGCAGUUCUCUCUCUACACAAGGAUCACAACACAGCUAAACCACAGUUACAUGUUAGUUAUCACACAGACAACUACUUGAAUGUACUCAAGUGAUUGCGAUAUUUUAUUAUUUUAGUAUCGAGCUGGGCAACCACACGUGUAUGUAGUGUGUUUUUUAUUGCCCUUUUUUUUUUUAAUCUUUUGCUAGUAAACUCAGGGCUAUUCUGCCAGGUAAAAAUUAUACCUACCUGGAAUUAUAAGUGUCUUAGCCUGGACAACAAGGAAGUUCUGAGCAGGAUCAAAAAAAUAUUCCUUUCAGUGGAAAUAUCAGUAAAUUGAAAGCUGUAUUAGCAAUAUGUACCACCUCAGAAAAUUAGUUUAUUCUAGGCAUCAGGAACAUUCUGGUUACAUUCAGACUUAUGGAUGUCACACUUGGACUUUACCUUCUCCUUUGAUCAUUCCACUCUGAAUACUUUGUACAGUUGAUAAAGGAAUGUCACAGGCCAACUUCCAUGUGUAAGAAAAGCAUAUUUUCUUUGCCAUAAAAAAUUCUAAGAAAAAAAAAGAAAACUUGUUCUGGUGCGUUUUUACUUAUGUUAGACUGAAGGAGGCUUUCUAGGCUGCUCUUCUUCAUACAGGGCUAGUUCUGUUAUGCACUGAAAUAGAGGAUUUUAUGGCUGUUUAUAUUUCCAGCAAGUAAGCGAAACCUAAGUGAAAAUAAAACUGAAAGACACUGAUGGUUUUGUUCUAAGUGUAAGUGAGAUGGAACCCUGGGUGUUGCUCUGUCAUACAGCACAGCAUUACAAAAGUUCCAUCCAUUUUGUUCUAGGAAAAUCAAACCAUACUGACCAUGGUUGUCACUUUCCCCAUUAGCAGAGAUGCAAUGCAUAAAACUCAAACCUGAAGGCACAACAGAACCUUAAAACAAGGAGGGGAGGAGGGUGGCAAAGAACCUUUGGCCAUCAGUAGGCUUCUGCCAUCAAAUUCAGUCAUUUUUUUCAUUAAUCAGUCUGUACUCCAUCUGGGAAAAAAUGGUAAGAUCACAGGUUUUAGAUAGCUACUAUUCCCAGCUAGGCUUCUUGUGUCAUACAAAAGUAAUCAGCUACUACUCCACUGAGCACUUGACACUACAUCCCUCUUUAAUUCCUUUCAAAUUGGAUGUUUAGAACAGAAAUGAACGGCACGUUUGCAUUUACUGGCAUUGAUGUAGCCCUUGAAUUUGUUGCCAUUUAGUGAAGAUUCUACGUAUUCCAUCAAGUCUCCCAUACUGGAUAGCAGUCAAGAUGGUACUUAUCUUUUGCUGUCUCUGCAGGGUCAGACUUCAAUUUUCUUCUUCCUUCCUUGUGAUAAAAAUUGAAAACAAAACCAUACUUCUUUAUUUGCAUCUCUGUACUAUACAGUUUCAGUUUUUCAGUUGUGAGUAUACUGAUACACAAAGGAGAUAGGGGAUAGUUUGUAUAGGUUUGGGCCCAUUUUCUUGAUUCUCCUGAUAACUUCUAGAAAAGCCACUUAGGUAUUAAGAUGACAACCCCAUGUCUCUGUGUCUCACGCCAAUGUAGAACUAAGCAGAAUUAUCAAACUCGCUAUCACUGUCCUCCUCAGGAUCCUAUCCCUCCAGAAGAGAAACCCUUAUCUGAUUGCAAUUUACUCCCUUACUGCUUACUAGAACACCAUCCCAAAACAGUGACAGCAGGCUUUAGGGACCUGCCUAAGGUUUUGUGGGGACAGACCUUGCUGAACACAUAGGACUUAGUAGGUGAGCAUUGCUUCUUUGCAAAGAUGUGCUGGUCAGAAUAAUUUUGCCCACCUGACCCAUGAAUCAUCCCCUCAAGCAUUCAGGAAAAAAAAUGAAGCUCUGUCCAUUUGGAUGUACAACCAUAUUCAAAUAAUUUAUUCAUCCUCGCUAUUUUUUUGAGAUGCUACAAAAAUUGUUCCUAAUAUUUUUAGUUUGCUCUUGCUGCAACUCCUGUUGAGGGAACAACAGGACUGCCUUCUAUUUCUGACCUCAUAAUGCAUAUGAAAAGGCCAUCCCAGACAGAGAGACUUUCAACACCUGAUUUUCCUCAGUAUAUCCCAACUCUUUUGCAGCCAA